Molecule: ribosomal RNA, 301 nt
Filed under: uncultured bacterium
Lineage: Bacteria
Description: partial 16S ribosomal RNA
Rfam family: Bacterial small subunit ribosomal RNA
Source: RNAcentral
CAGUAGCCGCGGUAAUACGAAGGGUGCAAGCGUUAAUCGGAAUUACUGGGCGUAAAGCGUGCGUAGGCGGUGAGUUAAGUCUGCUGUGAAAUCCCCGGGCUCAACCUGGGAAUGGCAAUGGAUACUGGCAAGCUAGAGUGUGUCAGAGGAUGGUGGAAUUCCCGGUGUAGCGGUGAAAUGCGUAGAGAUCGGGAGGAACAUCAGUGGCGAAGGCGGCCAUCUGGGACAACACUGACGCUGAGGCACGAAAGCGUGGGGAGCAAACAGGAUUAGAUACCCCCGUAGUCCCUGUCUCUUAUAC